GUGAGCCCGGCGCCCGCUGCGCCGCCACCCCAAUCCCGCGCGAGCUGGCGCCGCCCCCACCCGCUCCUCUUUUCCCCACCUGGCCCUUUUUCUUUUCUGGUGGAGGAGAUGCCGGCGCCCCGUCCCGGGUGCGAGCUGACUCCCCGGAUCUGGGCGGGCGAGAGGCUUCUCCCUCCCCGGGCCCGGGUGGUGAGCGCAGGAGGGAGGACCAGAAGCGGGCUCUGCCUGGGCUUGCCUGGGCUUGUCAGAGCCGGCCUCCUUCCCACAGUGACCGCGCAGAUCUGGGGGGAUUUCGAGAUGUUGCGGGAGUCUUGCAGCCAAGCCCCGGGAAGGAGGGGGCUGGAAGCCCGCGCGACCUGCUCGUCCGGUCCUGGGUGAGCGCAGAGUCGCUAGGAGGAUGGUGUGAGACGCCUCAUUUGUUCACAGAUACUCCUGGAUCCACCCCAUGUUCAAGGUUCUGCAACAGUGGGCCAGACAGACCACUGCUGCCCUCCUGGACUUUCCAGUCCAGUCACGACAACGGAAGAGUCUCACCUGGGGCAGUUUCUGGGGUCUGGUGACCUGGCUCAGCAGCCGGUGCAAGACUGCAGUGGAGAGCAUCCUGAGCGGUCCUCUGACCAGAAGAUUGUCCCUGAGGUCCAGGCCUCCUCUGUCUAACUGGGAAGAUUGUCUCUGUAUCCGAGGAUCCUGGACUCAGGAGGAAGAGGGACCCCCUCCUGGCCACCAGAACUGCCAGACCAGCCCUGGUGCCCGGGGGUCAGCCUCCACAGGCUGACCCUUCCUCGGGUCACUGCCUAGAUUCAGAAAAUGCAGUUCCCUGUGGAAACCAGGGGCCGGGGCUGCAUGGCAGUAGAAGGCGCAUCUGGUCUCGCCUUUCUGAGCUGUCUUUUCCUUGGGGACUGUUGCUGAGCUGGAGGAGGGGCUGGAUGGAGGACUUGGCAGUUCUCUUGUCUUCAUCCUUCUCACACUCCGUUAGUGCUUGUUGAGACCUCUGCUGGGGUUCAGACCGAGCCCCAUCCCCGAGAAUGCACAGGCCCUUCCACCGUCACAGCCCAGUCUUUGCUCUCUGCCACAGCAGUACCAUGAGCCGGGUCUUAAACCAGUGAGCUCCUGAGCCAUCCCCGCCCCUCACACCCGUCUCCUAACGGGCCAGCCCAUCCGAAUGCGGCUCCGUGCUCACGAGACCACAUGUGCCCCUGUGGCUCUGUUUGCACUGUGGAGCUGUCUUUACCUUGGGAAGUCUGCUUCUGUUGUCAGUAUUCGAGGGUCCUCCAGUCUGGGAGUCGAGAGAGGGGGAGCCUUUAUUCAGGCUCCUGCUUGUCCCUGUGCUUUUUGAGGAUGUGGUCACAGCAGAAGAUGCCUUUGGCCCCCAGACCUGCUGGAUCAGAAGCUCCGGAGCGUAGCUGGGAAACUGUACUUUACCAACCUUCCAGGUGACUCUUUCUAAUCUGAUAAACGUGCUCUGCUGGAACUCAUCUUUGGGAUAAAAUUGGAUGUAUUAGGAGUGUUUUUCCCACACUGAAAAAUUGUAAUUCAAGUCCAGUCUGGCUGGCUUCUUGGCAGAGCAUCACGGGUUUGCCUGCUUGGGGGCAGAGGACUAAGGUAAGAGUGAACUCCCAUCUGCUCCCACUGGACAUUUAGGAGCCCAGAGAGGAUGGCUCAGUGCCCCGCAUCCUGCCAAGCGUGUGGGAAAGCCUCGAGGGGCUUUCUCCUCCCGGGCAGAGAGAUUGUGCUGGCUCACGAGCUGCUCUUAUCUGCACCACCUUGCCUGGAACUCUGGUUUGUGGGACCUCCUGUGCUGGGGUAGAGGUCACAUUGACCCUCCCAGGAACACCCCUGCACAUCCCCACACCCACAUGGAAGAGGAACUGUCCCAUCGGUGGUCUUCAUCCAAAGUAGUUAGUCACUAGAUCUUCAAGCAGCCUCUGUGAUGGUGAGUUUGAGGUGUCAGCUCGGCCAGGCUAUAGUAGCCAGUUAUUCAACCAAACGCUGAUCUAGGUGCUGCUGGGAAGGCGUUUUGCAAAUGUGGGUAACACCUGCAAUCGGUUGACUUUAAGUAAAAAUUAUCCUUGAUAAUAUGGUGGGCCUCAUCCGAUCAGUUGAAGGCCUUUAGAGCAGAGCUGGCGUUUCCCUGAGGAAGGAGAAAUUCUGCCUGUG
RNAcentral lists this long non-coding RNA (2157 nucleotides) under Equus asinus (donkey). Its description in RNAcentral is "lncRNA (ENSEASG00005031789.1)". The record is from RNAcentral. Lineage: Eukaryota; Metazoa; Chordata; Mammalia; Perissodactyla; Equidae.